CCAAGAGAGGCCUCAAUGUGGUGCUGAUCAGCCGAUCCCUGCAGAAACUGAAACUGGUGGCAGCUGAGAUAGAAGAGCAGCAUGGCCGAAGCACCAGAGUUAUUGAAGCUGAUUUCACCCGGGGGUCAGAGAUCUAAGAAUCAAUCCGAACCACCCUGCAGGGCCUGGAGAUUGGCAUUCUGGUGAACAACGUCGGAAUGUUCUAUGCAACAGGACCAGUGAAUUUCCUGGAUAUCCCCAACAUUGAGAAGGUUUGUCUUGUUCAAAAAUUCUUGCCAGGCUGGUUUCUUGUCUUGCUGAUGAUCUGAUCUCCCUGGGACCAGGGAGUGAAGCUGGGUCUGGUUUUUUAGUGCACUCUGAGCACUGCUC
This is a long non-coding RNA of Chelonoidis abingdonii (Abingdon island giant tortoise), 369 nucleotides long. RefSeq lists it as uncharacterized. The record is from RefSeq and is a predicted model, not a curated record. Lineage: Eukaryota; Metazoa; Chordata; Testudines; Testudinidae.